RNAcentral lists this unclassified non-coding RNA (1870 nucleotides) under Hevea brasiliensis (rubber tree). The record is from RNAcentral. Lineage: Eukaryota; Viridiplantae; Streptophyta; Magnoliopsida; Malpighiales; Euphorbiaceae.
CUAUGAAUGAGAUGUCCUAUUCUUGUUGUUUGGGUAGUGGGUACAUAUGGGUCCAAGAAUAGCACUAUUUGAUAGCACUGGGUACAUAUGGGUCUUGGGUUUUGGUUUGGGUUUGAGCUUGGAGGAACUUAUGUUUUAUGGGCUUUAAGGGCUAGCAAUGAGAUAUCCUAUUCUUGUUAAAAGAACAGAAUAAAAGCUUUUCAAUUCAGACAUCAGAGGGCAUUUCAUACAUUUCUUGGCAAUAACUUCAUUGCCAAAAUGAAAAAUUUAAAAUUUACAGUUGAAACACCAAUACUCCUCUCCUUCCCCUCUUAUUGUCCACUUACACAAGAAAAAUAGCAAGGAGCAAAGAAAAUUUUAGAACCCCUAUCAUAUAAAUAAUUAAUGAUCAUCUAAAAUAAUCAACGGCCUUUGAAAGAUUAUUAAUAAUCCUAAUUAAUUAAUGAAAAUGUCAAGCGAAGAGAGCUGCAUAUAAGAGCUGGUUCCAGGCAUCAGGCAAUCCAGGCAAACACCAAUGGCUGCAAUCUGCCUUGUGGUCUCCACUAUAAGCAGAUGGGUGAGCAUCUUUUCGAUAUUGUGAGAGGGUGGUCACAUCUAGCAAGUCGACUGGUUUUUUAAUCCUACUCAAUACCCUGUUAACAACAACCCAAGCCAUUGGUGUGCCUGCUGGGUAGCUCGUUCCAAAGAAUGGCUGUGUUUCCCCUGUACAUGACUUUGUGGGUUGAUUCCAAUCCUUCCCCCUAACGUAAGAUGACAAAUAUGAAGUCAAGACCCAAUUCAUAUUGAUUCUUGCCUUGGAAAGCUAAAAAAGAAAAUUAAAGAUUAAUGGAAGAAAAAGUUUGCUUACUCGUAGUGAGUGGGAGAUAUGCCUUGGAAGAAGACCUUGGUUUUAGAAGGAUCAACAGUUCGGUCGACCCAUCUAGCCCAAGUAGUGAGUCCUUUGUAAAAUGCAAUCAGACGGUUCAUAUCUUUGUACUUUUUAUUACCCUCUUGCAUGUAACUCCAUCUGCAAUACAUGAAACAAUUAGUGCUAUCAAAAAAGAAAAUUUAUUAUUAUUAUUAUUUUCCAAAUUAUUAGGAGAUAGAAAUGAGGUAUGGAUGGUACGGUUGGGUUCUUCCAGUGUGAGUCCACCAGUGCCAGGUGUUAAAGAUCAACAUGUCCAUCCCAGCCCAUGCCCUGCCACCGUAUAUGGAGUCAAGCUUCAAAAUUGUUCCAUCCUUGUCGUUAACAAGAUCUACUAGAAAUGGUGCUCGAUAGAGUAGUAUCUUCACUCCAUAUUCCUCAAAUGUGACUGAAGAUAGCCCAUCUUUCCUUAUGACUGUAGUCCUUGAAUUAGGGACCCAAACAUGAAGCAUACAUGUUAAAGAUUGCCAUUGGUUUAGACUCAGUGAGUCACCCACAAACAUUAUCUUCUUCCCUCUCCAACUCAUCAAAAAAUCCACGCCAUUGAACCUGGGUAAGUUGCAAGAGUCAGGUUGCCAAGCAUACUUGAGAUACUGAGUAUCAGGUCUGCCAAACUUCUGGCAAUUAAACUCAUCAUCUAUAAAGGGACACCCUGAAGAAUCAUAAAGAGGAUAAGAAGCAUCAACGACCCAUCUCCCUUGAAACAAAUUGCAGCUACUCACUUGCUUUCUUCCUCUCAAUCUGCUUACAUUGUAGUAGUGUUGCUGUGCUCUUGCUUCUUCCAACAACAAGAGAAUUAUAACUUGAAAAAGAAAAGAAACCAAGAAAUGGCCAUGGCACCUCAAACCCAUAUUGGAUACAGAGAAGUUGGCCCGUGUGGGGCUUAUAUACAGGUGAGCUGUGAGAAGGUAGAUGGAGGUCGUGGUGGCGGUGGGGGCUGGGCUAGGUGGGUUCACAUGGUUGAAG